This 858-nucleotide ribosomal RNA is filed under the name uncultured bacterium. RNAcentral's name for it is "bacterial SSU rRNA". It matches the Rfam family "Bacterial small subunit ribosomal RNA", at positions 524 to 1381 of the family's 1533-position model. The record is from RNAcentral.
UACGAAGGGACCUAGCGUAGUUCGGAAUUACUGGGCGUAAAGCGCGCGUAGGCGGCUAGGUAAGUCGAUUGUGAAAGCCCAAAGCUUAACUUUGGAAUUGCAAUCGAAACUACUUAGCUAGAGUAUAAUAGAGGAAAGCGGAAUACAUAGUGUAGAGGUGAAAUUCGUAGAUAUUAUGUAGAACACCAGUUGCGAAGGCGGCUUUCUGGAUUAUUACUGACGCUGAGGUGCGAAAGUAUGGGUAGCGAAGAGGAUUAGAUACCCUCGUAGUCCAUACCAUAAACAAUGAUUGUUAGAUGUGGGAAAUUUAUUUUCUGUAUCACAGCUAACGCGUUAAACAAUCCGCCUGGGGAGUACGACCGCAAGGUUAAAACUCAAAUGAAUUGACGGGGACCCGCACAAGCGGUGGAGCAUGUGGUUUAAUUCGAAGCUACGCGCAGAACCUUACCAACACUUGACAUGUCUGUCGCGAGACUCAGAAAUGAGUUUCUUCGGUUCGGCCGGACAGAACACAGGUGCUGCAUGGCUGUCGUCAGCUCGUGUCGUGAGAUGUUGGGUUAAGUCCCGCAACGAGCGCAACCCCUACUUCUAGUUGCCAUCAGGUUAUGCUGGGAACUCUAGUAGAACUGCCUGUGAUAAACAGGAGGAAGGUUGGGAUGACGUCAAGUCCUCAUGGCCCUUACGUGUUGGGCUACACACGUGCUACAAUGGCGAUAACAGUGAGAUGCAAGUUGGCAACAACAAGCUAAACUCUAAAAGUCGCCUCAGUUCGGAUUGCACUCUGCAACUCGAGUGCAUGAAGCUGGAAUCGCUAGUAAUCGCUCAUCAGCGCGGAGCGGUGAAUACGUUCCCGGGUCU